RNAcentral lists this ribosomal RNA (213 nucleotides) under uncultured bacterium. RNAcentral describes it as "partial 16S ribosomal RNA". It matches the Rfam family "Bacterial small subunit ribosomal RNA", at positions 28 to 242 of the family's 1533-position model. The record is from RNAcentral.
GACGAACGCUGGCGGCGUGCUUAACACAUGCAAGUCGAACGAUGAAGCCUUUCGGGGUGGAUUAGUGGCGAACGGGUGAGUAACACGUGGGCAAUCUGCCCUGUACUUUGGGAUAAGCCUUGGAAACGGGGUCUAAUACCGGAUAUCACUUACCUCCGCAUGGGGGGUUUGUUGAAAGUUCUGGCGGUACAGGAUGAGCCCCGCGGCCUUAUC